GAGUGUAAAGGUCUUCUAGCUAGCUCAACCCAAAUAUGACAAGAGGUAGAAUGGCAUGGAUAGCGAGGUUGUCUAAAGAUAGAGAUUCUAGGAAGGGUAAACUUGGCUACUAAACACUUGCUUUAGAGCACCGGUUUACACCUGGUCUACCAAGUGCCUCUGGCCUUUAGCUCUACGCCAAACCUGAAUGUGGAGGGAUACAAAGCACAGACAAGGCUGUCACCACCUGCUGCCUUCCUCCCAGAUAAUGGGGAAAGGUAGCAAACAAAGGUAACCUCUAGCCUAGACACCACAUCUACACCAUCGAUUAUUACUCUAGCGUUGUACUAGAUUAUCCAUCUUUAUCAGGAGUCCUCUACUAAAGCAUCCUCCACAAGGAUGAACAAUGAACCCAUAAGAUAAUAAUAACAAGAGCCUAGCCUUACCAUGGAACUCACUACUAUAGACGAACUUGGAUACUUACUCAAGUGGAUCAUAUCCAACGAGGUACAAGCUUAGGAAGUUCGCCGACACACCUGACACUCCUCCUCCGAACUACAUCCUCACUCCUUCCCUAUCCUAUGCUACCAAAGUAGCCCUAAAGGUGGAGUCCCUCUCUUCUCUUGUAUCUUGGUGUCACUUGGUGUAAAUUGUUUUGUGGUGAGGAGAAGGGUCUCUAUUUAUAGGAGACUUGGAGGAGUGGAGGACAUCCUCUUGAUCCUAGGGGAAUAUUCCCCUCUCCUAUCCUUCCUUGGUGCCACCUGGGCUUGGAACCAAUGUUCCUUGGCGCCAAUUCCCGCGGCACAGCAUUCUGGAAGCGGUGGAGUGAAGAGCUAGAGGAAAACCAUGGAGACCCAUGCUGAACUACUGCAGA
This 853-nucleotide long non-coding RNA is filed under the name Setaria viridis. Its description in RNAcentral is "long non-coding RNA (SVIR_LNC010642)". The record is from RNAcentral. Lineage: Eukaryota; Viridiplantae; Streptophyta; Magnoliopsida; Poales; Poaceae.